UCUCUCCAGGCCCAUACGUUAUACUCUUUACACUAACUAUAUAGAAAGAGGAGAAGGCACAGUAAAUGCAUUCCAUGUACACCUCAGCCCAGACUCUAUGCUUGAUCUGUAUUGUGAAUGAGAAUACAUGA
This is a small nucleolar RNA of Suncus etruscus (white-toothed pygmy shrew), 131 nucleotides long. RefSeq annotates it as small nucleolar RNA SNORA51. The record is from RefSeq and is a predicted model, not a curated record. Lineage: Eukaryota; Metazoa; Chordata; Mammalia; Eulipotyphla; Soricidae. The transcript has a single exon.